RNAcentral lists this ribosomal RNA (875 nucleotides) under uncultured bacterium. Its description in RNAcentral is "bacterial SSU rRNA". It matches the Rfam family "Bacterial small subunit ribosomal RNA", at positions 59 to 900 of the family's 1533-position model. The record is from RNAcentral.
CAGUCGAACGAAACUUCUUUAUCACCGAGUGCUUGCACUCACCGAUAAAGAGUUGAGUGGCGAACGGGUGAGCAACACGUGGGCAACCUGCCCAAAAGAGGGGGAUAACACUUGGAAACAGGUGCUAAUACCGCAUAACCAUAGUUACCGCAUGGUAACUAUGUAAAAGGUGGCUAUGCUACCGCUUUUGGAUGGGCCCGCGGCGCAUUAGCUAGUUGGUGGGGUAAAGGCUUACCAAGGCAAUGAUGCGUAGCCGAACUGAGAGGUUGAUCGGCCACAUUGGGACUGAGACACGGCCCAAACUCCUACGGGAGGCAGCAGUAGGGAAUCUUCCACAAUGGGCGAAAGCCUGAUGGAGCAACGCCGCGUGGGUGAAGAAGGUCUUCGGAUCGUAAAACCCUGUUGUUAGAGAAGAAAGUGCGUGAGAGUAACUGUUCACGUUUCGACGGUAUCUAACCAGAAAGCCACGGCUAACUACGUGCCAGCAGCCGCGGUAAUACGUAGGUGGCAAGCGUUAUCCGGAUUUAUUGGGCGUAAAGGGAACGCAGGCGGUCUUUUAAGUCUGAUGUGAAAGCCUUCGGCUUAACCGGAGUAGUGCAUUGGAAACUGGGAGACUUGAGUGCAGAAGAGGAGAGUGGAACUCCAUGUGUAGCGGUGAAAUGCGUAGAUAUAUGGAAGAACACCAGUGGCGAAAGCGGCUCUCUGGUCUGUAACUGACGCUGAGGUUCGAAAGCGUGGGUAGCAAACAGGAUUAGAUACCCUGGUAGUCCACGCCGUANACGAUGAAUGCUAAGUGUUGGAGGGUUUNCGCCCUUCAGUGCUGCAGCUAACGCAAUAAGCAUUCCGCCUGGGGAGUACGACCGCAAGGUUGAAAC